This 416-nucleotide ribosomal RNA is filed under the name uncultured bacterium. Its description in RNAcentral is "bacterial SSU rRNA". It matches the Rfam family "Bacterial small subunit ribosomal RNA", at positions 38 to 463 of the family's 1533-position model. The record is from RNAcentral.
GGCGGCGUGCUUAACACAUGCAAGUCAAGGGGGCCCAGCAAUGGGCAACCGGCGAACGGGUGCGUAACACGUGAGCAACCUACCGAACUGUGGGGGAUAGCCGGCCUAACGGCCGAGUAAUACCGCAUACGCUCUCAGUGAGGCAUUUCAUUGAGAGGAAACCUACGGGACAGAUCGAGGGGCUCGCGGCCUAUCAGCUAGUUGGCGAGGUAACGGCUCACCAAGGCAACGACGGGUAGCUGGUCUGAGAGGAUGGCCAGCCACAUUGGGACUGAGAUACGGCCCAGACUCCUACGGGAGGCAGCAGUGGGGAAUCUUGCGCAAUGGCCUAACGGCUGACGCAGCGACGCCGCGUGUGGGAUGAAGCUCUUCGGAGUGUAAACCACUGUUGCCCGGGACGAACAGCUCGAUUAGUC